Molecule: non-coding RNA, 680 nt
Organism: Triticum urartu
Lineage: Eukaryota; Viridiplantae; Streptophyta; Magnoliopsida; Poales; Poaceae
Source: RefSeq, a predicted model, not a curated record
CAGAGGAAGAAACAGUCUGCUCUAGAUAAGAUUCUCAAGUUAGAACAACAAUUGAAUGUCAAAAGCAGAAGCCUGAGUUCAAAAAACAGUUGCAGUGCAAACUGGAAGUAAUGAAGCAUAUGCCAGGUCAAAGAAGAUAGACCAACUUCGUGAGGAGCUGCAAGAAAUGGAGUCACACAGCUAGAGUGUUGUCAAGGAUCAGAAGAGAAACGAUGAGCUACAAGAUGCUCGUAAGGAGCUGAUAUAUGGCUUGCUCGAACUUACAACUGGCCGAUCAGCAAUUGUAGACAUCAAAGGAAUGGGUGUGCUUGACCCAAAAGCAUUCACAAAUGCUUGCAAAGGGAAAUUCUGACAAGAUACAAAACUUACUGCUACUCUGCCGCUAUUCUUUGUUCAAAGUGGGUGCUAACUGGCACCUUUUUCAGGGUUGCCGCUAUUGAUGGCAAAGAGAAGGAAUUACUUUCGGAGAAGGACGACAAGUCAAGACAACAGAACUGAACUGAAAGAAGUCUGGGAGGGCGGGUGAAGCUGCAAGGGGAGCAGGACUUUUUUUCUUUCUUUCUGGAGAAUCAAAUCGGGCCAGGAUUUCCUAUGAGGCAACACAAAAAGGGAACACAGGGCGGCCCAUCUAAGGGCCCCUUUAUAAGCCGAGGAUUGGAAUUUUUGGGGCCUCGUCCCAA